This is a long non-coding RNA of Oryza sativa Japonica Group (Japanese rice), 1432 nucleotides long. RefSeq lists it as uncharacterized. Lineage: Eukaryota; Viridiplantae; Streptophyta; Magnoliopsida; Poales; Poaceae. The record is from RefSeq and is a predicted model, not a curated record.
AUCCAAUGCAACAAGUUCAAUCCCCAUUUCUUCUCUUCCACUAAAGUUAACAUGGUAUCAGAGCACUGGGUUGCUUGAUCCAAUCUCCAUCUACGUUCUCAGCCACGCUGCCCCUGGGAGGGAAAAUCUUGCUUCCCAGGGGCGGCCUCGUCGAUCUGAGCAUCAAGCAGGAGCAGCAAUUUUGGGUCAAUCAUCAAGCAGCAGCAUAAGCCCAUCGUCAUGGAUGCAGCAGCCUGAGAGCAACAACAGCCUACUGCCUAGCCUCUACCUCGUCAUUCAUCAUCCCUCUUCAGGUCCAAGCAACAACAUCAGCACGCCAUCAUCAAGCGCAGCAAAUAGAUCCAGUCAUCCAAAUCCAACAAGCAAAUAUCAAGCAGCAAGCAGUCAGCCGGCGCACCUUUGCCCUCCAGAUCGAGGCCAGCCGGUCCGGAAAAAAAUCUGGUGCAGACCGGAUGCAAACAGCAGUCCGUGCAGCCCCGACGCGGAUGCAUGACGCGUGGAUGGGGCGCUCAUCCGACGGCCGGCCCACACAAGCGAGUCCGCAUCGCACCUAAAUCUCAGCUCGGCUCAAGAGCGAUCUCAACACACCACAACUCGGCUCGCGCUCGCUCCGAUCGGCUCGAUCUAGUCCGAGAUGCAGUCAUCGUUCCCCUCCGCCUGUUUCUUAUCCCGUCGCCCCUUUCUCAUCCGCUGUUGGGCGCAUGGAGAUGGAAUGCGGCGGCGGCUCCCUCGGAUAGCUAGGGCAGUGGCGGCGCCCUCCCGUGCCUGGAGCAGGGCAGUGGCGGCGCCCUCCCAUGCCUGGAGCAGGGCAGCGACAGUGGAAGGGCCAGGCGACACCCUCCCGUGCAUUGAGUUUCAUAGUUUGAUUGCUCGGUUUUGGUUUUCAUUGCGGAGGCCAAUGCAGAAUUGCAGGUGAGAUAUAUGGGGUGCGGCAUGAAUGGCAAUUGAAGAUUGGAAGAGCAUGAAUGAGAGGAUGCUGAAGAAAUGACAUAGAACAAUCAAUGACAAGAUAAUGAAUGUAGCCUUUCUUUGUAAUUCCUACUAUGUAGUAUAUACACUAUUAGGAGUUUGUAAAGAUUCAGAACACCUUGUAUCCUGAGAACUAGUUUUGCCAGAUGUCAAGUUAUCCUGAGAACUAUUGUAACCUUGUGCAAAAUACAAAAGAGAAAAAUUGAUUGCCUAAAAGGAUGGUAAAUACAGCAGGCAGAAGUGGAUGGUGCUAAAAGGAUUGUAGUUUGAUGAAUGUAGCCUUCGCUGUUAAUCCAUACAAUGUAGUCUGUAUACUCUUAGGAGUAUGCAAGGAUUGUAGUCCAUAUGCUGUAAGUUUGGACCGCAUUUUUGGUCAAAUUGCAAGGAAACUCAGAUCGCUAUGUAAUCUGUACAAUGUAUUUCUUUUAUUUGAAAUACAUAUGGCAUGUUGGAUGUUCUGAAA